CCUUGUGCCCCUCUGCAGAGCCGCUGCCGGCAGGGCUGGGAUCAGACUCGGAGAGCGAGGAGCCCGUCCCUGUCCCUGUCCCCGUCCCUGUCCCCAGCCCGGUGCCACCGCGUACCAAGAGGCGCCGGGAGCUCGCCAGCGAGGAUGAGGAUGGUGGGAGCUCAGGUGGGUUCAGCCCCUCUGCCCUUUCCUGGGGGCUGAGUGGGCACUGCUGGGCUGGGGUUAUCCAGUCCCUGUCCCCUUUGCCACAUCCCUGGGGGGCUCAGCCCUCUCCCCUCUCCCUCCAUCCACAGGCACCAAUCCGGCCCCCCCAGCUCCCCGCUCCGAGGAGGAUGAGGAGGAGGAGGAAGAGGAUCCACAGCCCCGGGGGAGGAGGAAGCGCAUCCGCUGCCUGGAAGAGGAAGAGGAGGAGGACUGAGAGGCUUCCCAUAUCCUGCCUGUGCCCAGGCCUUGUGCUGUUUCCUGGGCUUUUUGCAGAUUUUAUUGGAUUGCUGCAGCUUUUCUGCAGUUUUUCUUGGGUUUCUACAGAUUUUCUGGGGUUUCUGCAGAUUUCCUUCUGCAGGUUUUGAUGCUGUUCUUAAAGGCUGCACCAGCAACCAGUUUCUCCACCUUCCCCCCCUUCCCCUGCUGUCACCAUUUACCCUGAAUUCCCUCCCUUUUCCCUCAGCUGUUGGGGUUUCGGGUUCUUUUUUUUCUUAAAACUUUUUAAAUCUAGACAGGGCCUAAAUAAAUAAAAGUGACUUUUGCCCUCCUUGGGUGUG
RNAcentral lists this long non-coding RNA (761 nucleotides) under Serinus canaria (Common canary). RNAcentral describes it as "lncRNA (ENSSCAG00000001557.1)". Lineage: Eukaryota; Metazoa; Chordata; Aves; Passeriformes; Fringillidae. The record is from RNAcentral.